UAAUGGAACAAAAUAUUUUGCCAAGAACAGCAGCACACAAUACCUGGCAAGACACAAAAUAUGUAUUUGCAUGGCUGGGAGAAAGGCUUGGAAACUCGCAUAGCAACCUAAGCCAUUAUAGAGACAGGCACAUGAUCUCCUCUGAGGAGCUGGGUCUGAGCCACAGGAGGAAUAGAGCACAGUUUGUGCAUUUCCAGGGAGAAAUUCAAUGCCUUUUUCAAAGACUCUGAUCAAACAGCUGCUGUGUGGAUGGGCCUGGUUUUGUCUUUGUUCUGUAAGAAGGGAAAGCAAACACAAGAAGCCUUGCCUGGGAGGUAACACCAGAGAGUGGGAAAUCUUUGAUGGUGUGUCUCCCUCUCCGCUGUAGUCAGUCUGGGAGCCCAUGUGCUUCCCUGCAUCCCUUUUGCCACCAUCCUCAGCACCCCCUUUGCCUGGACUAUGACAGCAGCUCCUCAUUUGUCUCCCAUUUCCGCUCUUGCCAUCCUCUACCCCCACGCAGCUUCCUACAUAGGAGUCAGAGCGAUAUUUUCAGAACACAAAUCUGUAUGCGUAACUCUUCUAGUUAAACCCAUCAAAGCUUCUCACUGC
Long non-coding RNA from Capra hircus (goat), 588 nucleotides. RefSeq lists it as uncharacterized. The record is from RefSeq and is a predicted model, not a curated record. NCBI's taxonomy places the organism in Eukaryota, Metazoa, Chordata, Mammalia, Artiodactyla, Bovidae. The transcript has 3 exons.